GGGUAGUUUGACUGGGGCGGUCGCCUCCUAAAGCGUAACGGAGGCGCGCGAAGGUUGGCUCAGAGCGGUCGGAAAUCGCUCGUUGAGUGCAAUGGCAGAAGCCAGCCUGACUGCAAGACUGACAAGUCGAGCAGAGUCGAAAGACGGCCAUAGUGAUCCGGUGGUCCCAAGUGGAAGGGCCAUCGCUCAACGGAUAAAAGGUACGCCGGGGAUAACAGGCUGAUACUGCCCAAGAGUCCAUAUCGACGGCAGUGUUUGGCACCUCGAUGUCGGCUCAUCUCAUCCUGGGGCUGGAGCAGGUCCCAAGGGUACGGCUGUUCGCCGUUUAAAGAGGUACGUGAGCUGGGUUUAGAACGUCGUGAGACAGUUCGGUCCCUAUCUUCCGUGGGUGUAGGAUAUUUGAGAAGAGUUGCCCCUAGUACGAGAGGACCGGGGUGAACGAUCCACUGGUGGAUCUGUUGUCGUGCCAACGGCAGUGCAGAGUAGCUAUGAUCGGACAGGAUAACCGCUGAAGGCAUCUAAGCGGGAAGCCCCCCUCAAAACAAGGUAUCCCUGAGGGCCGUGGUAGACCACCACGUCGAUAGGCCGGAGAUGUAAGCGCAGUAAUGCGUUCAGUUGAC
This 620-nucleotide ribosomal RNA is filed under the name Heterosigma akashiwo. RNAcentral's name for it is "partial Bacterial large subunit ribosomal RNA". It matches the Rfam family "Bacterial large subunit ribosomal RNA", at positions 2263 to 2895 of the family's 2925-position model. The record is from RNAcentral. Lineage: Eukaryota; Raphidophyceae; Chattonellales; Chattonellaceae.